This 28-nucleotide non-coding RNA is filed under the name Bombyx mori (domestic silkworm). Lineage: Eukaryota; Metazoa; Arthropoda; Insecta; Lepidoptera; Bombycidae. The record is from RNAcentral.
UCACAUACUGUUGGUCGUCGGACGUUCC